Molecule: long non-coding RNA, 1275 nt
Organism: Hemicordylus capensis (graceful crag lizard)
Lineage: Eukaryota; Metazoa; Chordata; Lepidosauria; Squamata; Cordylidae
Exons: 5
Source: RefSeq, a predicted model, not a curated record
AUUUGACUGGCUGGAGUUCUUAAGAAGUGAAGACUAAAAAAGGCAUAAGGAUCAGUUCAGGAGCACAGCUUGGACUCAUAUGGAAUACUAAAGCUGUUCAGCUUCAAGGGAGGUCUGACUAUAAGGGCUACACAAUCAAACUAAUAUUUUGUGAAUGGCCUCCUGCCAAAAGUGACUUCAGCUGAUGACCAAUGGUCUACCUUGUAGUCUUUGGUGACAAAGAUUCUUCGUUUCAGCACAAGAAAUCAUCGCUUCAACUGGUCAAUUGAUGGCCGUAGGAUAGACCAGCCCUGCAAGCUUGAUCCAGCUGAGAGGCAGUGACUGGCCGAGGAUCACCCAGUGAGUUUCAGGAAUGAAUGGAAGCCAGGUUCUAUUUACCACACCACGCCAGCUCUCCAUUACUUCUUCAAGAGUCCAUACAACAGCCAUACAAGGACAAACCCAGAAUACUUCCCAUGACUAGCGCUGAUGUUAAAAUUAAUCAAGAGGAUACAUUCUUCUCUCACACACAGAGCAGUGGGAAACCAUUCUGCCAAGUUGGGCUUGAGUGUGCCCUGUGAGGUCAAAGAAGGAGAUUCUGAACCACUUGGAUGGGCCUUUGGAUCUCACACAAGUAGAGAUGUCAUUGCAAUAGAUCUUCCUCUAUCUCAGAAUGUGGACCUUGGCUGCUCGCCCUGCUCACCUUUAAAUGAAAGGCAAUACAUCUCCAGAAUUAUCCUUGGACUCAUACUGUAAUCUCAACCAGAGGAGAACUCUCUCCCCUCUCCUAUCCCACCCCACCCCACCUACCUACCUACCAUUAUCUAGCUGCUACAGCUUCAGAAAUAGGUAGAAACCACUCUUGCUCCUCUGGUAUAUAUAGUAGGACUAAUAUCCCAGGUUGUCUAGCAUGUGGGACAUUGUCAUAGCAACGUUACGUAUGCACUAAGGAUGGAAAGGAUGGAGAACUCAAUCUGACAUUGUCACAGUCACACUGGCCAAGAAAGAGUAAGGGAUGAAGGAUGGGGGCCUUAUGGGUGGGUCAAAGGAGGAAUGGGGGCUUACAGGGAAACUGGAGGAAGGAUUUGGAUCCUUUCACACUACUGAUUGGGAGCGCAAGGGAACCUGCAGGGGUUUGUAAUUGGGCUUAGAUAUAAAUGCACUAUUUUACUGCAGGAAACUCCUGCUAAGUGGGCAAAGAGGUCCACUUGAAAAGCAGAAUAAAAAUAUAUUUAAUAAUAAUAAAAUGCUGUAUUGGGCAGACUUCCUGUAGAUAUAAUGAAUGUUAGAUAUAAU